RNAcentral lists this ribosomal RNA (577 nucleotides) under SAR92 clade bacterium. RNAcentral's name for it is "bacterial SSU rRNA". It matches the Rfam family "Bacterial small subunit ribosomal RNA", at positions 1 to 575 of the family's 1533-position model. Lineage: Bacteria; Pseudomonadati; Pseudomonadota; Gammaproteobacteria; Cellvibrionales; Porticoccaceae. The record is from RNAcentral.
UAAACUGAAGAGUUUGAUCAUGGCUCAGAUUGAACGCUGGCGGCAGGCCUAACACAUGCAAGUCGAGCGCGAAAACACUUCGGUGUGAGUAGAGCGGCGGACGGGUGAGUAAUGCUUGGGAAUCUACCUAGUAGUGGGGGAUAACGUGUGGAAACGCACGCUAAUACCGCAUACGUCCUACGGGAGAAAGCAGGGGAUCUUCGGACCUUGCGCUAUUAGAUGAGCCCAAGUCGGAUUAGCUAGUUGGUGGGGUAAUGGCUCACCAAGGCUACGAUCCGUAGCUGGUCUGAGAGGAUGAUCAGCCACACUGGGACUGAGACACGGCCCAGACUCCUACGGGAGGCAGCAGUGGGGAAUAUUGCACAAUGGGCGAAAGCCUGAUGCAGCCAUGCCGCGUGUGUGAAGAAGGCUCUAGGGUUGUAAAGCACUUUCAGUAGGGAGGAACAGCUUAAGACUAAUACUCUUGAGCCUUGACGUUACCUACAGAAGAAGCACCGGCAAACUCCGUGCCAGCAGCCGCGGUAAUACGGAGGGUGCGAGCGUUAAUCGGAAUUACUGGGCGUAAAGCGCGCGUAGG